Molecule: ribosomal RNA, 463 nt
Filed under: uncultured bacterium
Lineage: Bacteria
Description: partial 16S ribosomal RNA
Rfam family: Bacterial small subunit ribosomal RNA
Source: RNAcentral
GACGAACGCUGGCGGCGUGCUUAACACAUGCAAGUCGAACGGAAAGGCCUUUUCGGAGGUACUCGAGUGGCGAACGGGUGAGUAACACGUGGGUGAUCUGCCCUGCACUCUGGGAUAAGCCUGGGAAACUGGGUCUAAUACCGGAUAGGACCGCACUUUAGUGUGUGUGGUGGAAAGUUUUUUCGGUGUAGGAUGAGCCCGCGGCCUAUCAGCUUGUUGGUGGGGUAAUGGCCUACCAAGGCGGCGACGGGUAGCCGGACUGAGAGGUUGGUCGGCCACAUUGGGACUGAGAUACGGCCCAGACUCCUACGGGAGGCAGCAGUGGGGAAUAUUGCACAAUGGGCGCAAGCCUGAUGCAGCGACGCCGCGUGGGGGAUGACGGCCUUCGGGUUGUAAACUCCUUUCGCCAGGGACGAAGCGUUUUGUGACGGUACCUGAAGAAGAAGCACCGGCUAACUACGUG